This is a long non-coding RNA of Felis catus (domestic cat), 1124 nucleotides long. RefSeq lists it as uncharacterized. The transcript is spliced from 3 exons. Lineage: Eukaryota; Metazoa; Chordata; Mammalia; Carnivora; Felidae. The record is from RefSeq and is a predicted model, not a curated record.
UGAGCCACCCUCAGGUGCCCCUGGUUUUCUCUUUUUAAAGCAAGUUGCUAUUGUAAACAGAUGCCUACCUGAUUUCUACUUAAGCGAUUAACCAGUGCUUUUCCUAAAUGUCUUACACUUGUGCCCAAGAAUCCAGGUUCUUGCAUGCUCCACUAAUUGAGAUACGUGUCUAGCUGACGCUGGUGGUGGCCAUCCGUACGCUCUCAGCAUUUGCCAUUUCCCUGUGCCCAGAUGACUUCUUAGUGCAAAUCGCUGUCACUCUUUGCGUGUGGGCUUUUUCUGGCUGGCUAUAGCUGUGUGCUCGGUCCACACAGGGGCAGCUGGAGGUAUGGGGGAUCCACUGCCCCCCCAGCAGCCCUCUUAUGAUGAUAGCUGGGAGCUGGUGCGUAUGUAGCCCAGCCCACCGCCCCUCAGGUGGGCCAACUCACGCAGUCUCCUCGUGGUUGCCAGCCUGAUGAGUCCCAGGUGUGCACAGCUCUUGCCUUCUCUCUCUUUCUCCACCAUCUUCCUUCCCACGGGGGCUUCCUAGGGAAAGUUGGACCAGCCUUUCCGCAGAGACGAUCUGCUCCCAGCAGAUAGUGAGCAGUAGCUGGCGUCUUUCAGAACAAAUCCCCCAAGUAAUAGACCAUGCUGCUAGUGUCAGCUUCCUUUCCAGAAGCAGAAAUCCUCUGAUUCUGUGAAUUAUGAAUCCAGACACGUUGGGCCCAGUACUAUCAUACCAGUCACACAUCCCAUUUGUAGUACUGGGAUCAAAGAGAAGAAUGAACCCCCGAUUUUGGCCCUCGUUUGUUUUAGAAUCGUAACCCUGGAAGCAAUCUUGAGGACCUGCUUACUCUAUUGAUGACCUUGCUCAUGUGCAAUGGUUCACACUGAGCGAAUUUUGAUAGGCUCGAAGUCACUUAAAAUUAUGCUUGGAGUGGGUAAUAAAGAAAUCCGGUGCUGUUCGAUAACUCUUUUCAUCUCUUGUCUCUUUUUGUCCAACGUUCUGUAAACCCCUCGUACCCUCUACAAUAAUCUCUGCCCUCCCUCCACCAAGCUUCUGCUUCAUCGUCCUCCCUUAAUUUCGAAUCCAACUAUGAAAGGAGAAAAGGUGAGAGAGAGAGAAGGGAAAAAGGGAAAAAAGA